Molecule: long non-coding RNA, 1042 nt
Filed under: Cyanistes caeruleus (blue tit)
Lineage: Eukaryota; Metazoa; Chordata; Aves; Passeriformes; Paridae
Description: lncRNA (ENSCCEG00000023257.1)
Source: RNAcentral
CCCUUGCUGUGCCUGCAGGUGUCACUGAGCCCGAGCAGCUGGUGCUGUUCAGCAUCUCGGCUGCCAUCUCGGCCUUGGGCAAUGUCGUGAUGAGAGGGUGGCGUGGGGACAGCCGUGGGGACAGCCAUGUGGAGCUGGAAGAGGACUUGAUGCCACCUUAAACUGUCCCCAGAGCUGUAGCCAGGCCAGGUCUCAGUGUGCAGGACUGUCCCUCUGCAGCCAGGCCCUGGGGCUAUUCUGAGCUCUGCUGGACGUGGAGGUGUCACAGGUGAUGUGCUGGCUCUGCCACCACAAGCUGCUCCCUGCUGCAAGGCCUUGGCCUGUCCAGGCAGCAGGUGCUGGAUUCUGGGACACCCUGGCCAAGCACAUGCAUGGACAGAUCUUCAGCUGCAUGGUCAGGAAGGUCAGCUGUGCCUUGUGGUCACUGAAGGGUUACCACACCUCUGUUGGCAUCCUGGACAUCUGUGGGAAAGAGCAGCUGCCCUCUCCUGGGCUGCCUGGAAGAACCCGACCCUGCUGCUCCAGCUGGGACACAGCCGUGCCUGUCCCUGCAGUGGGGACAGCUGAGGGCCCCAGGUGGCUCUGCCUGGGCUGUGCCUCACGCUGGUCUCUGCUGCCCACAGGUCUGAGAUGUUCAAACACAACAGCUUUGAGCAGUUCUGCAUCAACUACAGCAACGAGAAGUUCCAGCAGCACCUGCACAUCUUCAAGCUGGAUCAGGAGUACGUAACCGAGAGGAUCCCUUGGGCGUUUGUCACCUUCUGUGACAUCCAGCAGUCCCUGGAGCUCCUGGAGGGCCAGCUUGGCAUCCUGGACCUGCUGAAUUGUGGUAGUGCAUAUUUCUGGGAGUUACUUUGUUUUCUCUGUGACGUGUUUUUCCCCUCCCCUCCUGUCCCUAAAACGUUACCCCAUUGCUUGGUGUUGUGUGUCCCCCCACCCCUCUCCCGAGGUUUGAAAGAGUCCGGGAAAGAGUAACCGGCCCUCUUCUCUCUCUGGAAGCUAGCCAGAAUAAACAUCCUCCGAUCCCCCGGAGGGAGAAGCA